CGCGCGGUGGAGCAGUUGGCAGCUCGUUGGGCUCAUAACCCAAAGGUCACAGGUUCGAGUCCUGUCCGCGCUA
This 73-nucleotide transfer RNA is filed under the name Spirochaetota bacterium. Its description in RNAcentral is "Spirochaetes bacterium (wastewater metagenome) tRNA-Met". It matches the Rfam family "tRNA". Rfam says of the family: Transfer RNA (tRNA) molecules are approximately 80 nucleotides in length. Their secondary structure includes four short double-helical elements and three loops (D, anti-codon, and T loops). The record is from RNAcentral. Lineage: Bacteria; Pseudomonadati; Spirochaetota.